AAGUAUCGAUGAUAAUCAUAUAGUAACAUCAAAAAAGAAUAAAAAAAAGUAAUUCAAAGGGGUUAUUAAGGAAAACUAAGGCAAAUUUAUACAAAAGGAGGUCACAACCAAAAGCUUAUCCAAUAAAGAUUCGGUAUUAAAAAUAAUAAAUGAAGCUGUUUAUUGGUACCCAGAACAGUAAGCGAUCCUAAGGUAAAUCUUUUAAAAAUAACUUCCUGAAGUAAAACAUUUUAUUAAGGAAAGGAAAGGAAAUCAACCGAGACUCCGAAAGUAAUGGUGAGUGAAAUCGGAUUAGCCUAUUUGUUUUAUUAAUUGAAGGGGUUUUAAUUAAAAAUCCAGGAAUUUAACUAUUCUUUUCUCUUAUCAAAAAGCUACUCCUGCGUAGCAGGAGGCACAAUAAAAAAAGAUAUUAGAAAAAAAAUAAUAACAUUUCACCAUAGAAGGUAAAUCGAGUCCUGUAGAAAUAUAAAACAAAAAUUAAAAUUUAGAAAUUUAAAUAAUAAUUAAGUAAAUAAUUAUUUUAUUCUUAUAUAAUAAAUUUAAACAUUACAUUUAAAUAUUAGUUAAAACUAAAACUCAUUUAUAACCAAAAAGUCUAGCUUGCUUCGCUAGUAAUUAGUUUUUAUUCUAUGUAUUGCACUAAUAAUAAAGUUAUAAAUAAGUAUUCUAGAUUGGAGUACGAUGAGAGAUAACUUGUCGGAAUAAAGGGGAACCAUCCUCUAAGGCUAAGUAUUAUAAAUUUAGCGAUAGUGAAUAAGUACUGUAAAGGAAAAGUUUGAAAAGCAUGUAGUAUACAAAUAUUCGAUUAUUAAAACAAAAUUAAUUAAUUAAUAAAUAUUAUGUUUCUUAAUUAAAAUACUUUGUUUUAAUAAUUAAAUGCGGUGAAAUAGACCUUGAAUUAGUAACUCUAUAAGCAGUCGAAAUUCUAUUAUGAAUAUAAAAUAUUUAAGAAUAACGGCGUACCUUUUGCAUAAUGGGUCAGCAAGUUAAUAGGAGUAGCAAGGUUAAAAGCCCUAGCGAAAGCGACUGGACUAUAAAUUAUUUCUUUAUUUUAUAAAUAAAUAUAAUAAAAAUUAUAAUAAUAUACAUAGUGAUGGAUAAGUUACUUCUAUUAGACCCGAAGCCAGGUGAUCUUACCAAGACCAGAUUAUAAUGGAUCGAACGGUUGAAUGUUGCAUUAUUCUCCGAUGAGUUUUGGUAAGCGGUGAAAUGCCAAUCUGACCUGGUGCUAGCUGGUUUUCUACCGAAACAUAUUUAAGUAUGAUGUCUACAAAUAAUAUAAAAACAGAAAUUUAUGGAGGUACAGCAAGGCAAUUCCCAACAAAUUUAAGGUAAAACAAAAAUUCUUUUCUUGUUUUAUAUUUUUAUUAUUAUUUUUAUAAUAAUAAAAAUUCUAUUUAUAAGAUAAAAUAAUUUAUAUUAAAUUAACAGACACAAUAAGUAGCCUUAUCUGCGUUCAGGUUGCGGGGAUCUAGAAAAUCUUACCUUUGGAAGCGAAUCUCGGAAUUACAUAAAUUGAUGGUAGAUAUUCAGACUGCUCAUGCUAAGUUGGGCAGUCAAGACGGAAACAGCCGAGAACACUGAUCAAGGUCCCAAAUGAUUGUUAAGUGAAAUUAAGGACGUAGCAAUAUCGAAUACAGCUGUGAAGUGAGCCUGGCAGUCGCUACUUAUAAUGAUCGUAUGUAACAACGCAUCAGCAGUCUAGAUAGUAGCGCCGAAAAUUUAACGGGUCUUAAACAAUCAACCGAUAUCGUGUUGGUUAAUAAUAAUAAAUUUGUUAUUAAUCUAGGUAGUAGAACAUUCAGUAAAACUUUAAAUCAAAUAGUGUUUCAUUAUUUUGUAGGAUACUGAAGAGAGAAUGCUGACAUGAGUAACGUAAAAAGAAGUUAUAAUACUUCUCGCCGAAUACGAAAGGGUUGCAAAUAGGAAAGGUUAAUCCGUUUUGUUUUAAUGCGGCCUCUAAGGGAUGUAGCUAAAGCUACUACUGAUGAGUCUAUAAUAGAAAGUCUAAUAUUUAAAAAAUAGACCAGGAAAUGAAUAUUAUAUUACUACCGUACCCUAAACCGACACAGGUUCGUAGGUAGAGAAUACUAAGGCGUAGAGCUAAAAGUUGUUAAGGAACUCGGCAAGAUCUCCUCCUAAGUUUGACGACAAGAGGGACCGUUAUAAGCUAGUUUAUUUAUAUUCUUUGCGUAGCUUUUUAAAUUAAUUUAAAUUAAUAUUGACUUGCUACGCCACCAUAAAAAAAUCACUUAUAAUGGUGACACAAAAUCGGAGGCCACGACUGUUUACUAAAAACACAACACAGUGCAAUCAUUAAUAUGAUAGUAUACUGUGUGAAAUUUGCCCGAUGCCAUUAAUAUAAGAGCGAUCAUGGUUUUCUGUGAUUAAUCGAAAAUCUGGUUAAUAGCGGUCUUAACUAUGAGGAUCCUAAGGUAGCAAAAUAAAUUGGCCUUUAAAUGAGGUCCGGUAUCAAUAAUGUAACGAUGGUCUCACUGUCUCUACAACUUGCUCAGUGAAAUUGAAUUACGCGUGCAGAUGCGCGUUGCCUUCAGGGGGACGGGAAGACCCUAUGCAGCUUUACUGUAGUUAGUUAUCAUAUAAAUCUAGAACAAUCAAAAUUAAUAGUGAAUAGGUAAGUCGAUAGACAAAUAGUGGAAACCUUAAAAUUCUGAUUGGGUUUAUGUUUACCUUAAAUUUAAUAAAAAAAGGGAUAGUUUACUAAUUGGCAGUUUGACUGGGGCGGUCGUCUUUAAUAGAGUAGCAAAGUACAUCCAAAUAUUUCAUUUAAAACUAAAAAUUUAUUGUUUUAUAAAUUUUAUUACAAAAAACUUUAUUUUAGUAUAAUUUAAAGUAAUAAUUAAUUUUAAUUAAUUAACAUUCUAAAUUUUUCUUUCUAAUCAUUAAUUUUAUAAGGUAUAGCUAGAAAUUGAAUGGAGAUCAAUCAACCAGUGAAGGGUUGCGCAGAGUUCAAUGGCGAUAAGCAUGCUUAACUGAAAGACCUAAAAGUCGCACAGAUACGUAAGUAGGGCAUAGUGACCCCUCGCUAUAAUAUGGGAUAGACGGGGAUCAAUUGAUAAAAGUUACGCUAGGGAUAACAGGCUGAUCGCGGACGAGAGUACACAUUGUCUCCGCGGUUUGGCACCUCGAUGUCGACUCAUCCUAUCCUCCGGGGGAAGAAGCUUGGAAGGGUUCGGCUGUUCGCCGAUUAAAAGGGUACGUGAGUUGGGUUUAAUACGACGUGAGUCAGUAUGGUCCCUAUCUUCUGGAGGAAUAAUAGUAAAAAGGGGCAGACCUUCUAGUACGAAAGGAUCAAUAGGCUGUGUUUCUCUAGUGUACCAAUUGUUUGUAAUUUUUUUUAAUUAAAAAAAUAUGAAUGCAUAGUUGGGUAGCCACAAACAUAAUAGAUAAGUGCUGAAUGUCUAUAAAGCAAGAAUCUAACCCCUAGAUACUAAUAUGGCUAAUAAUAUUAAUUAUUGUUAUGAUGGGGCGGCUUAUUAUUAAUAAAUAAGCAACUCCAACAAAAUAAGUAACAUUUAA
RNAcentral lists this ribosomal RNA (3540 nucleotides) under Laccaria bicolor. RNAcentral describes it as "large subunit ribosomal RNA". It matches the Rfam family "Bacterial large subunit ribosomal RNA". Lineage: Eukaryota; Fungi; Basidiomycota; Agaricomycetes; Agaricales; Hydnangiaceae. The record is from RNAcentral.